UCUCUGGUUCCUUACUGCACCGCUCAACUAGGUCAACGCAAGGUGAUCUCCGGGAGAGAGGCAGUGCUCUGAGCGCGCCACCUUUUACGUGUCGCGCCGUCGUCCCUCCUUCCCUCGCCCCGCACCCUCGCCUCGCCCUUUCGGACUGUCCGGGAACUGGUUCCCUCCAGCCGCCCUCACCUGUUCUGCCUCCCCCUGGAGGCAUAACAGUUAGAGAGAUCAGUCGUGGGAGAUUAGAUUUCUCGGCGUCAAACUUCCAUCUAGGCAACCGCCCUAGGCUGGAGCUGGCCUCUCAGUCGACCUUACCUUUGUUGGAGGGUGGUGGUGUGCGGGGGGGCAGGCGUGGAGAUUGUGAGGAACGGGAGAGGCGAGCUGAGAGAAGGGGCGAGAGGCUACAGUAACUUAGAAAAAGCAAUUGGAGGGGUCAAAGAAGGCGUAUUUGACAUUAGUGUUGCUAUAAAAACCUGUUUACUACUACUUCUCGUCCCCCGGACUUCUGUUUGGUCUGAGUGCAGCUCUCCUCUCGGAGACACUGAGUCAGUACAUUGCUGGUCUUGCCCUCUUUUGGAAAAAGAAAAUAGCCUUGAGGAUUCGUAGUCCCUAUCCAAACCUCCUGGGGCCUUUUAAACCAGGUGCCAAGCUGAAUUGUCCACCGCACCACCUUGCCCGCAGGAGGCAAGCUGUUUAGGGGAAGCAUGGCGUGUGCUGGGCGCUGACAGCGACUUCGUGUGACUCUGAAGGGCACGCUGGAAAGUUUCCUAGAUUGAAGUGAAGAAGAUUGGCCCUAAGCUAACAUCUGUUGCCAAUCUUCCUCUUUUUGCUUGAGGAAGAUUGUCCCUGAGCUAACAUCUGCACCAAUCUUCCUCUAUUUGCGUCUCCAUCACCUCCUGGCCAGCCCUCAGGAUGAAGUCCAAGUUCUCCACUAUAUGGAAGAUUAUCCCUGAGCUAACAUUUGCUGCCAAUCCUCUUCUUUUUGCUGAGGAAGGCUGGCCCUGACCUAACAUCUGUGCCCAUCUUCCUCUACUUUUUUUUUUGUAUGUGGGACGCCUGCCACAGCAUGCAUGCCAAGCGGUGCCAUGUCCACACCGGGGAUCCGAACUGGUGAACCCUGGGCCGCCAAAGCGGAACGUGCGCACUUAACCCCUGUGCCACUGGGCCGGCCCCUGCUUCCUCUCCUUGAAUGCGAAGAUUAGACGUGUGCAUUUCAUUUCUGCGUUUCUAGCAUCCAGCAUAGUUUCCUCACACAGACUGAAUGAAUGAAUAAAUGGAUAAAAGAAAAUGAUGAUCAGAAAAGUUACAUGACUGGCCCAAGGUCACAAUAAAGCCGUUGGAGGGACAGUGGCAGAGUGGCAGCCAAGGGACCGGCCCUGAGACGUGGCUGCUUUGUUUCCUGGCGAAGAGGUGUUCUAGUGGCUCUUGGCUUGAGAUGUGAGGCCUGCGCUGAAGGAGCAGGAGUCCACCAGGAAGGGCCACUUUGAGAGUGAAGCUCACCUAGGUCAGCAGCAGAAGGAGCACGGGCCACAACCAAGGUCUGCAUAACGCAACGAUGCAUCAAAUCACGAGGAGGACGGAGUGCUGCCAUCCGUGCCACCUGGCAGUUGUGUCAGCAGAGUGGAGUUUUUCAUUACGGAUUCAGCAGAAUUCAUAGGUGCUUGAGUGACAGCCUUCCUCCUGGGAGUCGGCCAUCUUGUCCAGUUCUCGUACUCCUAAGAUGCA
Equus asinus (donkey) is the source of this 1716-nucleotide long non-coding RNA. The record is from Ensembl. Lineage: Eukaryota; Metazoa; Chordata; Mammalia; Perissodactyla; Equidae.